This 330-nucleotide ribosomal RNA is filed under the name uncultured Clostridiaceae bacterium. RNAcentral's name for it is "bacterial SSU rRNA". It matches the Rfam family "Bacterial small subunit ribosomal RNA", at positions 28 to 339 of the family's 1533-position model. Lineage: Bacteria; Bacillati; Bacillota; Clostridia; Eubacteriales; Clostridiaceae. The record is from RNAcentral.
GAUGAACGCUGGCGGCGUGCCUAACACAUGCAAGUCGAAUGGAGAUAUUACGGAUGAAGGAUUCGUCUGAAUUCUGUUUUAUCUUAGUGGCGGACGGGUGAGUAACGCGUGGAGAACCUGCCUCUUUCCGGGGGAUAGCAGUUGGAAACGACUGGUAAUACCUCAUAAUGCUUUUGAGUCACAUGUCUUGAAAGCCAAAGAUUUAUCGGCUAAGGAUGGGCCUGCGUCUGAUUAACUAGUUGGUGGGGUAACGGCUCACCAAGGUGACGAUCAGUAGCCGACCUGAGAGGGUGAUCGGCCACAUUGGAACUGAGACACGGUCCAAACUUC